GACGAACGCUGGCGGCGUGCUUAACACAUGCAAGUCGAACGAAGAGCGAUGGAAGCUUGCUUCUAUCAAUCUUAGUGGCGAACGGGUGAGUAACGCGUAAUCAACCUGCCCUUCAGAGGGGGACAACAGUUGGAAACGACUGCUAAUACCGCAUACGAUCCAAUCUCGGCAUCGGGACUGGAUGAAAGGUGGCCUCUAUUUAUAAGCUAUCACUGCAGGAGGGGAUUGCGUCUGAUUAGCUAGUUGGAGGGGUAACGGCCCACCAAGGCGAUGAGCAGUAGCCGGUCUGAGAGGAUGAACGGCCACAUUGGGACUGAGACACGGCCCAGACUCCUACGGGAGGCAGCAGUGGGGAAUCUUCCGCAAUGGAGGAGAGUCUGACGGAGCAACGCCGCGUGAGUGAUGACGGCCUUCGGGUUGUAAAGCUCUGUUAAUCGGGACGAAUGGUUCUUGUGCGAAUAGUGCGAGGAUUUGACGGUACCGGAAUAGAAAGCCACGGCUAACUACGUG
This 510-nucleotide ribosomal RNA is filed under the name uncultured bacterium. RNAcentral describes it as "partial 16S ribosomal RNA". It matches the Rfam family "Bacterial small subunit ribosomal RNA", at positions 28 to 507 of the family's 1533-position model. The record is from RNAcentral.